AGAAGGGCUUUGAAGUACAAGGUCAGCACUUCCAUUUGAUCCGUACUGCUUGGGACAUCACCCAAUACUCUCUGUUCUUUCAUUCAAUGCCCUGAUUUUUGGCUCUUUCUGGAUCUCCACCUCUGAUCACCAUCUCCUGCUUCCCGGCCGAGAGGGGAGGCAGGAUUCAAAUACACUUAUUUGCCAACAGUGAUUUUUCUCGUUGGUCUAUGAACUCCGGCGGAAGAGAGUGUCUGCCGCGGGUGCGGCUGAACUACAGCAACAUGCGCCUGUAGCCAUGGCCGGUCCAACCUCAGUGGGGCAAGAGGAGGACUUUGCAAUGCUCAUGGGACACAGAGAGCCUAACUGCCUUGGGAGCUGUGUAGCAGGCUGGCGGCGGCUGCGAACACUGGGUACUCCACGUGAGAACAUUUUCAUCUGAGAACAUUGUCAUCUAUUUCUGUUACUCAUUCUCUUGGCAAAUUUUCACUGUCUUGAGAAGCUAAUUUCAUAGAAAUCAAAUAAUAAAACAGGACAGAUUGAAAACAAGGGUUUUCUUACAUAAAUAUCACGUAUUUAAUUCAUUCUGACACUAAUAAUUUAUUUAGAACUCUAUUAGAAAGUGGACCUUGCUGACUAAGAUUGCACAGCCUUCAAAGCCUCGUGCAAAUUCUAAACUGUAAAAAAUGUUUUCCCAUCUCCCCUUACUCCCUUCC
Long non-coding RNA from Canis lupus familiaris (dog), 695 nucleotides. RefSeq lists it as uncharacterized. The transcript is spliced from 3 exons. The record is from RefSeq and is a predicted model, not a curated record. Lineage: Eukaryota; Metazoa; Chordata; Mammalia; Carnivora; Canidae.